AUGCUCACAGUGGAUGAGAUCGAGGAAGCGUGGUCUUAUCUACUGGAGAAGUACGACCUGUAGACACACUCGUACAUGACGCAGAUUUUCGAGAUAAGGGAGAAGUGGGCGAAGUCGUAUUUCAAGGGAAUUUUUUGUGCCAAGAUGACAAGUACCCAGAGGAGUUAGAGUGUGAACCAUAUGCUGAAGAACUAUGUACCCUCCGGCUCUCCGAUGCAUAAGUUUGUUAGGCAGUAUAUGCGGUUGCAGUUUGAUCGUCAAUCAGAUGAGAGUUAUGAAGAGAAGAAAACUAAAAUCAUAAGUGCAGCUUCAUUGAGAAAGAAAUGGUAG
RNAcentral lists this ribosomal RNA (330 nucleotides) under Triticum aestivum (bread wheat). Its description in RNAcentral is "partial small subunit ribosomal RNA". The record is from RNAcentral. Lineage: Eukaryota; Viridiplantae; Streptophyta; Magnoliopsida; Poales; Poaceae.